Molecule: unclassified non-coding RNA, 358 nt
Filed under: soil metagenome
Description: partial contains 5.8S ribosomal RNA, internal transcribed spacer 2, and large subunit ribosomal RNA
Rfam family: 5.8S ribosomal RNA (bases 1-120)
Source: RNAcentral
GAUGAAGAACGCAGCGAAAUGCGAUAAGUAAUGUGAAUUGCAGAAUUCAGUGAAUCAUCGAAUCUUUGAACGCACAUUGCGCCCGCCAGUAUUCUGGCGGGCAUGCCUGUCCGAGCGUCAUUUCAACCCUCGAACCCCUCCGGGGGGUCGGCGUUGGGGACCUCGGGAGCCCCUAAGACGGGAUCCCGGCCCCGAAAUACAGUGGCGGUCUCGCCGCAGCCUCUCCUGCGCAGUAGUUUGCACAACUCGCACCGGGAGCGCGGCGCGUCCACGUCCAUAAAACACCCAACUUCUGAAAUGUUGACCUCGGAUCAGGUAGGAAUACCCGCUGAACUUUAGCAUAUCAAUAAGCGGAGGA